GUCUGUUGUAAACGGCGGCGUUAACGUGAGCGUCCUAAGGUAGCGCGAUAAUUUGCUUUUCAAUUGAAGGAUGGUAUGAAAGGGUUAACGAAGAAGGUGCUGUGUCUAAAAAUUUAAUUCAAACUAACUUUAAGGUGAAGAGGCCUUUAUGUAAAAGAAGGACGACAAGACCCUAUGAAGCUUUAUCUUAAUUGGAGCUCUCAGGCUCUUAUACGAUUUUGAUGGGAGAUCAGUAGAAAGAAGUCUUCUACUAUCAUAUUAAUCUUACUAGUAUUUCCUAACUUUAUAUGUGUGGCUAGCUACUCUAGGGAUAACAGCGCAAUUUCUCCCGAAAGAUGGUAUUGGAGGGGAAGAUUGCGACCUCGAUGUUGGCUUUAGAUAUCCUAGAGGCGUAGAAGCUUCU
Molecule: ribosomal RNA, 403 nt
Filed under: Mytilus galloprovincialis (Mediterranean mussel)
Lineage: Eukaryota; Metazoa; Mollusca; Bivalvia; Mytilida; Mytilidae
Description: partial 16S ribosomal RNA
Rfam family: Bacterial large subunit ribosomal RNA
Source: RNAcentral